RNAcentral lists this ribosomal RNA (272 nucleotides) under uncultured bacterium. RNAcentral describes it as "partial 16S ribosomal RNA". It matches the Rfam family "Bacterial small subunit ribosomal RNA", at positions 524 to 796 of the family's 1533-position model. The record is from RNAcentral.
UACGUAGGGGGCAAGCGUUGUCCGGAAUUAUUGGGCGUAAAGCGCGCGCAGGCGGCUGUUUAAGUCUGGUGUUUAAGACAAGGGCUCAACUCUUGUUCGCAUCGGAAACUGGGCAGCUUGAGUGUAGGAGAGGAAAGUGGAAUUCCACGUGUAGCGGUGAAAUGCGUAGAGAUGUGGAGGAACACCAGUGGCGAAGGCGACUUUCUGGCCUAUAACUGACGCUGAGGCGCGAAAGCGUGGGGAGCAAACAGGAUUAGAAACCCCCGUAGUCC